GCUCUGAGAUUCCUGUAGUCAAACAUUUGUCCAGAUGAUGGAGUGGAAACUAAAAUAUUGUCUUUAUAAUCUAAUACCUGCAGAGAACUGAAGUGUUUCUUUCUUUUUGAACUCGUCCGUCUUUCACCUUCGUGCUGCUGUGAAACACCUUGAAGACGCUGCGAAGGGUUCCUGACAAAGAACGAGACACUGAUGAAGAGAUGAGUCACUGGUCUCAUCGAGCAGGAGCUCCACUGCGGAUCUGUUGUCUUCACGCUCCGUGGAUUCACAAGGUUAUCUGGUCCAUCAUGGGUGGAAAAGUAAAAAUAAAAACACAACAGCCUCCUUCAGAGACACACACCUUCUUGUUAAAACGCUUGAAGGUUUGUUGGGACUGUGUGAGCGUCAGCCUGCUGCUACCGAGGCCGUACUCUUGACCCAGUAACCUACAGGCCCACCCUGCCAAGCCCAAAACACCGCUAAGCCCAGAAAUGUGACACUCCAGACAAUUAGGAAGUGUUUGGACACCAGGAUGAAAACUCUGUCUGCCUGAAGCACCGAUAAAGAUUUUAUUGCCAUCCAUCACUGCUGUGAGCGGCGCAGGAGAGGAGGUAAUUUCCCAGUGGGCAUCGGGAACAAUCCCCAUUAAUGGAGUGCCGAAUUCCACCGGACAGGGCACCGCGGUCACUAUCAGCCGACAUGUACAACUUCUAUUCCCAUUCAAGCAGGCUCCGGUCCUCGUCCUCAGCUGCGGGGGACUUCCUGCUCCUGCUCCGGGCUGUGGUGACUCCUCGGCCCCAUGUCUCCUGUGUGAACACCGGGCUGCUCGUGGCUCCUGCAGCCGGGAAACUCCUGGAGCCUGUGGAGGUGCACGCAGCGUCACGCAGCUGCUUCCUGUCCACUCCUUCACAAUAAAACCUCAACGCGACAACCUGACAGUGCAACUGCACACAGCUAAGAAAAGAUUGUUUUGUACGAGCUGACAGAUUUCCCCGAGGCUGACCCACAAUUGAGAAACAGUUAACAGUGUUUACAGCUACAUGCACAAAUAUGAGGAUUUAUGGAGAUGAAAAUACUGGAGAGGUUUCCCCCUCUGGCUGCAGCUGACAGGAUGGUGGCAAAUAUACAAGCGAAGACACAAAACAUGUUGAGUAUGUGACACAUCAGAUGCAAAAUGGAGCCGGGACCGUGAUGCUGAAUGUGUGUGUCCCUGUUUUUGCUCCACUGCCUCCGAAGCUCCUGGAAAAAAGGAAGGAUGAAACUUUGUUGCAGCUGGAAGAAGUUAGAAUGUAAUA
This is a non-coding RNA of Paralichthys olivaceus (Japanese flounder), 1274 nucleotides long. NCBI's taxonomy places the organism in Eukaryota, Metazoa, Chordata, Actinopteri, Pleuronectiformes, Paralichthyidae. The record is from RefSeq and is a predicted model, not a curated record.